GCAAGGUCUGUGCUUGGGAGAGGUAAUACUGUGGGGUUGGGUUUUUUAAGUGAUGUCAGCAUUUGAGAUCCCUUGGACCUGUGUUUUGGUUAAGCCCACAAGAAAAUAAGAGUUCAUUUGAGUUUACCCUGGAAACCUGGCUGCUGUCUCUGAGGCACAAAUGCUCCUGGAGACAGCCUGCUCUUGCAAUUCAUGUAUUCUGUGAAGCAGAAAGAAAAACAUAUUGGCCAGGGUUCAAGCACCUUUCUUGGUUGUCUUGGUGAUAAGUGCCUGAUAAAAGUUCAAGGUCUUUGCUUGCUUGUAUAGAAUAAAAGCAGCUUUGCUUAAGUUACUGCUGGCAUCCAUGGUCUUCCAGAGGGUGCUGAUCUGCUGUUUCCAGUGUCUGGGCUGUUCUUGGGCUCCAGGGAGCUGAAGCAGAUGUCAGAAGCUGAACUCCUUGAGUCACCUGCAGUGGUGAGGAUGGAGCUGCAUUCCCUCUGCUGCCUUCAGCCUCCUGCUCUCGAUCCCCAGCUCCAUCUGCCUGACACCAUGGGCAGCUUCCCAAAGCUGGAACCUCAACUGCCUUCAUUUCUGCACAGGCCAGUUAGUCAUUUCCCACUUAUAAACAAACAUUUUGGAGACACCAGAGAAACUCAGUCAGCAAGAGGACAAAGUUCUGUUGCUUUUAAAGUAGUUCAUUCACCAGUGAGUUUUACUGCCCAGCAGCUCAGCCACCACUGAACUGAAACAUACAGGUUCCUCAUUAAAACAGGAAAAUGUGCUUCUGGAGCAGACCAGACUUUCAAUCAUUGAGUUGACUUCAAUUUAAAGUGUUGUAGUUGAGGUGCCUUUAUUCUGAGAUUUGUUUUAAUCUGUCUUGAGACUUCUUCCUUAUAUGCAGAGAUAUUCCUGGGUUCCUCUGAGGACAUUUGCAUUGGCAGUGCAAUGGAGAUCUGAGGUGUGGUUGUUGCUGCAAACUAAAGUCAAACAAUUCUCCUCAAUCCUUGAAAAGAAGAGGAAGCUGCUCACCCAUGUUUAACUGCUACCUGGCUUCUGCACUUUUCUAACCUUCAUUUCCACUUGUGACCUGCCCAUAGGUGUGUGCUCACACUUUCCUCCUGCUGACCCAGGCAGGGCAUCGUGUACCUGCUGUGCAGUUCCACACUAACAUGGUUCCUGAAAAUCCAAUGUGACUGAGGGCAUGCACAGUUUGGAGGUGAAUUAUUGCCAAGUCUCCUGGAGCAUUACCCAGCAGUGCUGGAAAUGGCCCCAGGGAUCAACACUCUUGCAAAUGAUCAGCCAGCCCCUUCCUCACAGAGGUCCUUAUAGGAAAAUGUUUGUCUAAAGUGGAAGACUGUUUUUCAAAAAAAUCUCAGAGAGAGGGAUAAAUAAUCAAUAAGCAGUGGGAAGAGUUUAAAUCAAAUUUUAAAUAGCAUAGUGGACAUUUUAAUUGAGAGACUUAUUCUUGUCUCAUUAAAACAAAAAAUCCAAACGUAAUUAUUUGCCUAAAAGCUGUAUCACGAGGGGUUGAUGCUGCCAGCCUGCAGGGCUGAGCCAGAGCUCCAGAUCCCAGUGUUCCUGCUCUGUCCACAGGCUUUGGGCUGGCACAGGCACAGUGCUCCCUCCUGCUUGCCACCAGCCUGCUAAACACGCCUGCCUUGUGCUCAAGCUUAGCACAAGCUCGGUCAGGCACCUGAUAAAUCUAAACCAGACUGGAGUGCCUUUGGUUGCUCCGGAUGGAGCUGCUGUCAAUUUGUUUUUCUCGGCUCAGCAGUUUCCCCUGAGAUCUCCAUCAUCAAAUCGAUGCUGGGUGUUGCCCUGUCCUGCCUCAGCUCCUUGUCCUGGGAGCUGUGUGUCCCCAGGCUGGCCCUCCUGGCCUGGGACACACCUGGCUGCUGUGAGAGGGGUGUGCCACUGUUACAUAAGCCUUUGGGGUUUCCUCUGGUUUGCUGCACUUCAUAAGGAGCCACAAUUUUAUAUUUUCUGCUGGACUUCCCCCUUUGCAGUGACAGCCUGACUCUGUGUCUGUGAGGGGGUUCAAGUUUUCCCUUUGGGUAUUUCCAGUGACAUUGGUCAGGCACAAAAAUCCUGUGAUCUGAAGGAAUAAUUUUGGCUAUCUUACACCAAAUGUCAGAUUCUUUCUGUCUUUUUACAAAUUAUUUUAUUUUUUAGGACUCUUUUUCCUAAACUGCUUAAAGCUAGGGGAAAAAACUCCCAGAAACUGUAACAAAAUCGGGACCACGAUGCAAAUCACCAGGGCUCUUCCCACGGGCAUUUUGGCCAAAGUUGACUCGCGGUGCCUGUUCCAACUUGCGGCAGCCGCGAGUGCAUCCGCAGCCAAAGGUUCCCCCCUGCAGCACAGUGACAGCUACUGCAGGUGCCCCAUCAGCUGGAGCUCAUUUAUCCACGAGGACUUUUCAUGUUUUAAAAAAACUGAAGGGAAAAAAAAGGCAUCUUGUGCUGCUAAAAUCCAGAGAAAAUUCUACUGACUUCAGCAAAAGCAGAUGGGAUUGUUAAUGCCAUGAUGGAAUUGGUAAUUAUUGGCACUACUUUUCCUUUGUGGGACCCAAUCUGGGGAGUUUCCCAGGGAGAUAUGUUGGGCCACGGGUCAUGCUAUAAUGACUAUAUCCUCGGGUCAUAAUUUUGCUCCUCACCCGUGAUAAGGCAUGAAGAAAAAAAAUGGGCUAAAACUUUAUGUGGUUCAAGGGACAACUGAAAAAAUUAAUAGGGAAAUGUGCUGAGGGACACUGAGGCAACACCACAGCCCAAUGACAGGGCUAAGAAUCAAACUGUUGGAGGUGAUGGGGUUUUCUGGAGGAAAAUUUUGGUUGA
Molecule: long non-coding RNA, 2811 nt
Organism: Zonotrichia leucophrys gambelii
Lineage: Eukaryota; Metazoa; Chordata; Aves; Passeriformes; Passerellidae
Exons: 2
Source: RefSeq, a predicted model, not a curated record